Molecule: ribosomal RNA, 520 nt
Filed under: uncultured Glomus
Lineage: Eukaryota; Fungi; Glomeromycota; Glomeromycetes; Glomerales; Glomeraceae
Description: SSU rRNA
Rfam family: Eukaryotic small subunit ribosomal RNA
Source: RNAcentral
AGCAGCCGCGGUAAUUCCAGCUCCAAUAGCGUAUAUUAAAGUUGCUGCAGUUAAAAAGCUCGUAGUUGAAUUUCGGGACUAAUAUGUCGGUCGUGCCUCGGUACGUACUGGUAUUUUUGGUUUCUCCCUUCUGACGAACCUUGAUGCCAUUAAUUUGGUGUCUUGGGAAAUCAGGACUGUUACUUUGAAAAAAUUAGAGUGUUUAAAGCAGGCUCACGCUUGAAUACAUUAGCAUGGAAUAAUGAAAUAGGACGUUUGAUUCUAUUUUGUUGGUUUCUAGGAUCGACGUAAUGAUUAAUAGGGAUAGUUGGGGGCAUUAGUAUUCAAUUGUCAGAGGUGAAAUUCUUGGAUUUAUUGAAGACUAACUACUGCGAAAGCAUUUGCCAAGGAUGUUUUCAUUAAUCAAGAACGAAAGUUAGGGGAUCGAAGACGAUCAGAUACCGUCGUAGUCUUAACCAUAAACUAUGCCGACUAGGGAUCGGAUGAUGUUAAUUUUUAAUGACUCAUUCGGCGCCUUACG